CAUGCAAGUCGAGCGAGAAAGUCCCUUCGGGGAGCGAGUACAGCGGCAAACGGGUGAGUACCACGUGGGUAACUUGCCUUCGGGUGGGGGACAACCUCGGGAAACCGAUGCUAAUACCGCAUAACGUUAUGCUUUCGCAUGUUAGCAUAACCAAAGGGGGGGAUCUUCGGACCUCCCGCCUGAAGAGAGGCCCGCGCCUGAUUAGCUAGUUGGUAGGGUAACGGCCUACCAAGGCGAUGAUCAGUAGCCGGUCUGAGAGGAUGGCUGGCCACACUGGGAUUGAGAUACGGCCCAGACUCCUACGGGAGGCAGCAGUCUAGAAGCUUCGGCAAUGGGCGAAAGCCUGACCGAGCGACGCCGCGUGCAGGACGACGGUCUUCGGAUUGUAAACUGCUUUCGACAGGGAUGAACGGUAAGGAAGUUAAUAACUUCUUUAUUUGACAGUACCUGGAGAAGAAGCCCCGGCUAACUCCGUGCCAGCAGCCGCGGUAAUACGGAGGGGGCAAGCGUUGUUCGGAUUUAUUGGGCGUAAAGCGCGUGUAGGCGGUAGAGUAAGUCGAAUGUUAAAGACCCACGGCUCACCCGGGGGAAUGCGUCCGAUACUGCUUUACUUGAGUGCGGGAGAGGAAAGUGGAAUUCCUGGUGUAGCGGUGAAAUGCGUAGAUAUCAGGAGGAACACCGGUGGCGAAGGCGGCUUUCUGGCCCGCAACUGACGCUGAGACGCGAAAGCGUGGGGAGCGAACGGGAUUAGAUACCCCGGUAGUCCACGCCGUAAACGUUGGAUACUAGGUGUGGGAGGUUUUCUACCCCUUCUGUGCCGUAGCUAACGCAUUAAGUAUCCCGCCUGGGGAGUACGACCGCAAGGUUGAAACUCAAAGGAAUUGACGGGG
This 890-nucleotide ribosomal RNA is filed under the name uncultured organism. RNAcentral describes it as "bacterial SSU rRNA". It matches the Rfam family "Bacterial small subunit ribosomal RNA", at positions 54 to 918 of the family's 1533-position model. The record is from RNAcentral.